Molecule: long non-coding RNA, 1313 nt
Organism: Columba livia (rock pigeon)
Lineage: Eukaryota; Metazoa; Chordata; Aves; Columbiformes; Columbidae
Exons: 2
Source: RefSeq, a predicted model, not a curated record
UGGAUCUUCACCACCCUCUUAGGAAAGAGGACAUCUGAAGAAAAUUAUGUUUAAUCCACGUUGCAGUUUCAUGAUUGUUAUUUUGCAGAUGGGAAAACUGAGGUAGAGAAGAGGCUGAGCUAUUUGAUCUGCUACCCAAUUAUACAGAACACAACUUGGAAUAAAUGUUUGCCAGGGUCUUGCUCACCCGCCUGUCUCCACAGGACAGGUCAAGAACACAUUUGCUGCUGUGUGAGAAUCUAUUGCAUUAAAACCCCCAGCGUAUAUGGUGGAAAUCAAGUAUUGGGAGACAGGCUACAUAUAGAUCUGCUUGUUUUACCCAACAUACACCUGCAUCUUCUGUCUGGGUCUUCAGAAGGAAGAACAUUAAAGAAGAAGAAUUAAACACAAGCCUAAUGAAAACAAAUGGGCUGGUUUGUACCAAUGAAUGUCACCAUGCAAGGAAACACAGGCUACCCCAAGCCAACACUCCCUGAGAGCUCCUCCAUCUGUGUUUUCCAUUUUACAGCCUUCCUCCAGCCCAGUAAUUCGAGCUUUUGCUCGGAAGGAGCAGCGAAAGAGGAAAAUCCUCCCAAGCUUCUCUUGUUAACAAGUGUUCCCCAGCUCAGCUCCAGCCAGGGGUUGCCCUCUCCUGGAGGACAGGAGAAAAGUCGCAUCCUACCACCUCUCAGUCCUUUUUGGGUCGUAACCCCUGUGGGGACAACCUGGCUCUCCUGGGCCAGACUGCCCUGUAAUAGAACAUUUCCUCCACCAAGACUUGGGGUAACCACACCAUCGGGUGCUGACCAAGCUGCCGGGAACAGAGGGAUGGUUGAGAUGGAGUGUGACAGCUGUCUGUCCCAGUCCUGCUGCACAACCCACCCCAGCACUGUGCCACCAUGGAGCCAGCCUGGGCUACCCAGACUCUUUCCUUCCCCUGGCUGUGUCCCCAGCUCUUUCUCUGUCCUGUUUCCAGCAGCUGCUGCCACUUGUCCUGCACGGUGCGAGGCAGGAGGUUUCCAAGGUGCCUGGAGACCUCCACAGGACAGUGAUACCGAAAUGCAAAGCAUAAAUCCUUUAUGUAUUUAAGUCUCAUAAAAAGGAAGCCCACGUUUCCUUCAGCUGCUCUCUGGAGCCCCAGAGACUUGGCCUGAUAUGAAACAGAUUUUUUUUGUAACGUUGCUAUUUGGAUAAGGGCACCAGCAGGAGAGAAGGUCCAUUUCUCUGCCUAAUGGUGCUGCAAACACCCUUUCCAAGUUGAAUUAACACCACUAAAGGGAAAGAUUAUAAGUCACUUUAAAGUGGCUCCGGGGGAAGUUUUCAACCCAAUCUAU